GAGGGCCUAUGGAUUGCCUCAGUAGCGGCGAGUGAGCGGCAAGAGCUCAGAUUUGAAAUCGUGCUUUGCGGCACGAGUUGUAGAUUGCAGGUUGGAGUCUGUGUGGAAGGCGGUGUCCAAGUCCCUUGGAACAGGGCGCCCAGGAGGGUGAGAGCCCCGUGGGAUGCCGGCGGAAGCAGUGAGGCCCUUCUGACGAGUCGAGUUGUUUGGGAAU
This 214-nucleotide ribosomal RNA is filed under the name Pichia kudriavzevii. Its description in RNAcentral is "partial 26S ribosomal RNA". It matches the Rfam family "Eukaryotic large subunit ribosomal RNA", at positions 56 to 281 of the family's 3401-position model. Lineage: Eukaryota; Fungi; Ascomycota; Pichiomycetes; Pichiales; Pichiaceae. The record is from RNAcentral.